RNAcentral lists this ribosomal RNA (301 nucleotides) under uncultured bacterium. RNAcentral's name for it is "partial 16S ribosomal RNA". It matches the Rfam family "Bacterial small subunit ribosomal RNA", at positions 509 to 807 of the family's 1533-position model. The record is from RNAcentral.
CAGUAGCCACGGUAAAACGUAGGGUGCAAGCGUUAAUCGGAAUUACUGGGCGUAAAGCGUGCGCAGGCGGUUAUAUAAGUCAGAUGUGAAAUCCCCGGGCUCAACCUGGGAACUGCAUUUGAGACUGUAUGGCUAGAGUGUGUCAGAGGGGGGUAGAAUUCCACGUGUAGCAGUGAAAUGCGUAGAGAUGUGGAGGAAUACCGAUGGCGAAGGCAGCCCCCUGGGCCAAUACUGACGCUCAUGCACGAAAGCGUGGGGAGCAAACAGGAUUAGAUACCCCUGUAGUCCCUGUCUCUUAUAC